This is a long non-coding RNA of Lemur catta (Ring-tailed lemur), 407 nucleotides long. RefSeq lists it as uncharacterized. The transcript has 2 exons. The record is from RefSeq and is a predicted model, not a curated record. Lineage: Eukaryota; Metazoa; Chordata; Mammalia; Primates; Lemuridae.
AGGAUACCACCUUGUCUUUAGCCCACUGACUUUGAACUUGAAACAGACUGCGGUGGGAAGAAAGCUUAGGAAGAGGCUGAAUGGUGGCAUGAGCAGAGCAAGGAGGUGUGCACACGGGGGGCAGAACUGCAAGGAAAGGGGCCACCGUUCAUCCUGCACCCCUGGUGUCAACAGUGGGGACACCCAAGGAGACUCCCCAAGAUGUUGUCCCUGGCCUGCCACUGUGUUCCUAAGAGCCUUGUAUAGCAGGAGGACAGGCUGAUUUGCUAAGUCCCCACCCAGCCUGGAGAUUCUGAGGGUCUAAGGUUACUCCUUUAUAUUAAGACCUUAUCUCUGUGACAUUAUCCAGGUUAAAAUGCAAAUAUGUUACCAUUAGGGGCAACCAAUUAAAACCUGAUACCUCAAAA